UCGAACGGAAAGGCCCUGCUUGCAGGGUACUCGAGUGGCGAACGGGUGAGUAACACGUGGGUGAUCUGCCCUGCACUUCGGGAUAAGCUUGGGAAACUGGGUCUAAUACCGGAUAGGAACCAUCUUUAGUGUGGUGGUUGGAAAGUUUUUUCGGUGUAGGAUGAGCUCGCGGCCUAUCAGCUUGUUGGUGGGGUAAUGGCCUACCAAGGCGGCGACGGGUAGCCGGCCUGAGAGGGUGUACGGCCACAUUGGGACUGAGAUACGGCCCAGACUCCUACGGGAGGCAGCAGUGGGGAAUAUUGCACAAUGGGCGCAAGCCUGAUGCAGCGACGCCGCGUGGGGGAUGAAGGCCUUCGGGUUGUAAACUCCUUUCGCUAGGGACGAAGCUUUUUGUGACGGUACCUAGAUAAGAAGCACCGGCUAACUACGUGCCAGCAGCCGCGGUAAUACGUAGGGUGCGAGCGUUGUCCGGAAUUACUGGGCGUAAAGGGCUCGUAGGUGGUUUGUCGCGUCGUCUGUGAAAUUCUGGGGCUUAACUCCGGGCGUGCAGGCGAUACGGGCAUAACUUGAGUGCUGUAGGGGUAACUGGAAUUCCUGGUGUAGCGGUGAAAUGCGCAGAUAUCAGGAGGAACACCGAUGGCGAAGGCAGGUUA
This 653-nucleotide ribosomal RNA is filed under the name uncultured Actinomycetales bacterium. Its description in RNAcentral is "bacterial SSU rRNA". It matches the Rfam family "Bacterial small subunit ribosomal RNA", at positions 62 to 728 of the family's 1533-position model. Lineage: Bacteria; Bacillati; Actinomycetota; Actinomycetes; Actinomycetales. The record is from RNAcentral.